UAGGGAAUAUUAGUAAUGGGCGAAAGCCUGAACUAGCAACGCCGCGUGUGUGAAGAAGGCCUUCGGGUUGUAAAGCACUUUUUGAGAGGAUGAGGAAGGACGGUACUCUCAGAAUAAGUCUCGGCUAACUACGUGCCAGCAGCCGCGGUAACACGUAGGAGGCAAACGUUAUCCGGAUUUACUGGGCGUAAAGCGCGUGUAGGUGGUUUGGUAAGUAGGGCGUGAAAGCUCCUGGCUCAACUGGGAGAGGCCGUUCUAAACUGCCGAACUAGAGGAUGGUAGAGGGAGGUGGAAUUCCGGGUGGAGCGGUGAAAUGCGCAGAUAUCCGGAGGAACACCAGUGGCGAAAGCGGCCUCCUGGACCAUUCCUGACACUCAGACGCGAAAGCUAGGGUAGCAAACGG
This 403-nucleotide ribosomal RNA is filed under the name uncultured bacterium. RNAcentral's name for it is "bacterial SSU rRNA". It matches the Rfam family "Bacterial small subunit ribosomal RNA", at positions 355 to 775 of the family's 1533-position model. The record is from RNAcentral.